This 471-nucleotide ribosomal RNA is filed under the name uncultured bacterium. RNAcentral's name for it is "SSU rRNA". It matches the Rfam family "Bacterial small subunit ribosomal RNA", at positions 26 to 518 of the family's 1533-position model. The record is from RNAcentral.
AGGAUAAACGCUGGCGGCGUGCAUGAGACAUGCAAGUCGAACGGACGAUCGAGGCUUGCCUUGAUCGUUAGUGGCGGACGGCUGAGUAACGCGUAGGUGACCUGCCCCGAAGUGGGGAAUAACUGCCCGAAAGGGUGGCUAAUACCGCAUGUGGUGGUGUGUUCAUUCACACCAGUAAAGCCGCAAGGCGCUUCGGGAGGGGCCUGCGUCCGAUUAGCUCGUUGGUGGGUAACGGCUCACCAAGGCGACGAUCGGUAGGUGGUCUGAGAGGACGAUCACCCAGACUGGGACUGAGACACGGCCCAGACUCCUACGGGAGGCAGCAGUCGGGAAUUUUGCGCAAUGGACGAAAGUCUGACGCAGCAACGCCGCGUGAGGGAUGAAGGCCUUCGGGUUGUAACCUCUUUUAUCAGGGAAGAUAAUGACGGUACCUGAUGAAUAAGUCACGGCUAACUACGUGCCAGCAGCCGC